AAACCAACAGGGAUUGCCUCAGUAACGGCGAGUGAAGCGGCAAAAGCUCAAAUUUGAAACCCUCGGGAUUGUAAUUUGAAGAUUUGGCAUUGGAGAAAGCUAACCCAAGUUACUUGGAAUAGUACGUCAUAGAGGGUGACAACCCCGUCUGGCUAACCGUUCUCCAUGUAUUGCCUUAUCAAAGAGUCGAGUUGUUUGGGAAUGCAGCUCAAAGUGGGUGGUAAACUCCAUCUAAAGCUAAAUACUGGUGAGAGACCGAUAGCGAACAAGUACUGUGAAGGAAAGGUGAAAAGAACUUUGAAAAGAGAGUGAAAUAGUAUGUGAAAUUGUUGAUAGGGAAGGAAAUGAGUGGAGAGUGGUUGCGGUUUCAACCAGCCCUUGGGCUGGCCUAUUGCCAACGCCGAGUCAUUGUCCGCGAGACGGGAGCUAUAAACGGGUUACAUUUAUGUUUCUCACCUACCUCCCCCACUGCAGUCAACGACAUAAUCCACCCAUUUCACC
RNAcentral lists this ribosomal RNA (501 nucleotides) under Yarrowia porcina. RNAcentral describes it as "eukaryotic LSU rRNA". It matches the Rfam family "Eukaryotic large subunit ribosomal RNA", at positions 62 to 649 of the family's 3401-position model. Lineage: Eukaryota; Fungi; Ascomycota; Dipodascomycetes; Dipodascales. The record is from RNAcentral.